CGCGUGGACGAAGAAGGCCGGAAGGUUGUAAAGUCCUUUUCUCAGAGAAGAAUAAUGUGGGGAGGGAAUGCCCUACAGAUGACGUUAUCUGAGGAAGAAGCCCCGGCUAAUUACGUGCCAGCAGCCGCGGUAACACGUAAGGGGCAAGCGUUGUUCGGAAUUAUUGGGCGUAAAGGGCGCGUAGGCGGCUGAGCAAGCCUGGUGUGAAAGGCCACAGCUUAACUGUGGGAGUGCGCUGGGAACUGCUUGGCUGGAGUUCAGGAGGGGAAUCUGGAAUUCCUGGUGUAGGGGUGAAAUCUGUAGAUAUCAGGAAGAACACCUGUGGCGAAGGCGAGAUUCUGGCCAUGAACUGACGCUGAGGCGCGAAAGCGUGGGAGCGAACAGGAUUAGAUACCCUGGUAGUCCACGCUGUAAACGAUGUGCACUAGGUGUUGGCUGUUGUAACGGUCAGUGCCGAAGCAAACGCGAUAAGUGCACCGCCUGGGGAGUAUGCUCGCAAGGGUGAAACUCAAAGGAAUUGACGGGGGCCCGCACAAGCGGUGGAGCAUGUGGUUUAAUUCGAUGAUACGCGAGGAACCUUACCAGGGCUUGACAUAUGCAUGACGGUCGUAGAGAUACGGCUUCCCUUCGGGGCGUGCAUACAGGUGCCUGCAUGGUUGUCGUCAGCUCGUGCUGUGAGGUGUUGGGUUAAGUCCCGCAACGAGCGCAACCCCUGCUGUCUGUUACCAGCACGUAAAGGUGGGGACUCAGACGGUACUGCCGGUGACAAACCGGAGGAAGGUGGGGAUGACGUCAAAUCAUCAUGGCCCUUAUGUCCUGGGCUACACACGUGCUACAAUGGUCGGUACAGAGCGAGGCAAAACCGCGAGGUGGAGCAAAUCGCAGAAAGCCGGUCUCAGUACGGAUUGGAGUCUGAAACCCGACUUCAUGAAGUUGGAAUCGCUAGUA
This 948-nucleotide ribosomal RNA is filed under the name uncultured spirochete. RNAcentral describes it as "bacterial SSU rRNA". It matches the Rfam family "Bacterial small subunit ribosomal RNA", at positions 398 to 1340 of the family's 1533-position model. The record is from RNAcentral. Lineage: Bacteria; Pseudomonadati; Spirochaetota; Spirochaetia; Spirochaetales.